GAGGAGGAGGUUUUUGGAUUGUAAACCUCUUUUCUCAGGGAAGAAUUUUGACGGUACCUGAGGAAUAAGCACCGGCUAACUCCGUGCCAGCAGCCGCGGUAAUACGGGGGAUGCAAGCGUUAUCCGGAAUUAUUGGGCGUAAAGAGUCCGUAGGUGGUCAUGCAAGUCUGCUGUCAAAGCCCACAGCUUAACUGUGGAUCGGCGGUGGAAACUGCAUGACUUGAGUACGGAAAAACACCGGUGGCGAAAGCGCUCUACUGGACCGUAACUGACACUGAGGGACGAAAGCCAAGGUAGCGAAAGGGAUUAAAUA
This 313-nucleotide ribosomal RNA is filed under the name uncultured marine organism. Its description in RNAcentral is "bacterial SSU rRNA". It matches the Rfam family "Bacterial small subunit ribosomal RNA", at positions 401 to 784 of the family's 1533-position model. The record is from RNAcentral.